UACGUAGGGGGCAAGCGUUGUCCGGAAUCAUUGGGCGUAAAGAGCUCGUAGGCGGUUUGUCGCGUCUGCUGUGAAAACCCGAGGCUCAACCUCGGGCCUGCAGUGGGUGCGGGCAGACUAGAGUGCGGUAGGGGAGAUUGGAAUUCCUGGUGUAGCGGUGGAAUGCGCAGAUAUCAGGAGGAACACCAAUGGCGAAGGCAGAUCUCUGGGCCGUAACUGACGCUGAGGAGCGAAAGCAUGGGGAGCGAACAGG
Molecule: ribosomal RNA, 253 nt
Filed under: uncultured bacterium
Lineage: Bacteria
Description: partial 16S ribosomal RNA
Rfam family: Bacterial small subunit ribosomal RNA
Source: RNAcentral